Lepus europaeus (European hare) is the source of this 1871-nucleotide RNA transcript. It is a transcript of the gene named citramalyl-CoA lyase, with no coding region annotated. The record is from RefSeq and is a predicted model, not a curated record. Lineage: Eukaryota; Metazoa; Chordata; Mammalia; Lagomorpha; Leporidae. The transcript is spliced from 11 exons.
GAUGGCGCUGCGUCUGCUGCGGAGGGCGGCGCGCGGAGCGGCGGGAGCGGCGGGAGCGGCGGCGCUGCGGAGCCUAAAACCGUCUCCCACAGCGGGCGUCUCCAGGCUGUGGUACAGCUCCUCGGCCGGGCACAAGUACGUUCCACGGCGGGCAGUGCUGUAUGUACCUGGGAACGAUGAGAAGAAGAUACAGAAGAUCCCGUCCCUGAAGGUGGACUGUGCGGUGCUCGACUGUGAGGACGGCGUGGCUGUCAACAAAAAGAGUGAAGCCCGACAGAGAAUAGUCAAAACCCUGGAAGACUUUGACCUGGGCCCAACGGAGAAGUGUGUUAGAGUGAACUCGGUGUCCAGCGGGCUGGCCGAAGAGGACCUCAAGGCCCUCCUGGAGUCGCGGGUCCUUCCUUCUAGCCUGAUGCUCCCCAAGGUGGAGGGUCCCGAAGAGAUCCAGUGGUUUUCAGACAAAUUUUUACUCCACUUAAAAGGCCGAAAACUUGAACAACCAAUGAAUUUAAUCCCUUUUGUGGAAACUGCAAUGGGUUUGCUCAAUUUUAAGGCUGUGUGUGAAGAAACACUCAAGACCGGGCCUGCAGUGGGUCUUUUCCUAGAUGGAGUCGUGUUUGGGGGAGAAGAUUUUCGAGCCAGCAUAGGUGCAACAAGUAGUAAAGACACCCAGGACAUCCUGUACGCCCGGCAGAAGAUCGUCACAGUGGCGAAGGCCUUCAGCCUGCAGGCGGUGGACCUGGUGUACAUUGACUUCCGAGACGAGGCCGGGCUCCUCCGACAGGCGAGGGAAGGGGCCGCCAUGGGCUUCACUGGUAAGCAGGUGAUCCACCCGAACCAGAUCGCCGUGGUCCAGCGGGAGUUCUCGCCUUCCCCUGAAAAAAUUAAGUGGGCUGAAGAACUCAUCGCCGCCUUCCAAGAACAUCAGCAGUUAGGAAAGGGAGCCUUUACUUUCCGCGGGAGCAUGAUCGACAUGCCGCUGCUGAAGCAGGCCCACAACAUUGUCACGCUUGCCACAUCCAUCAAGGAAAAGUGAGCUGGGAAAUGGAGCUCUCCCCAGACUACGCAAGGCAACUGCUUCGUUUUUCUCCUCCUCCUACGCCCUUUGGAGUCUGUUGCCUGCGUGGCCCCUAGCCUGUGCUCCAACCAGGGCCUGCCUGCGUUCGCCUCUCGUCCCACUCCUGCAGGGAGCCCAAGAGGUGACCAGAAUGCGACCUAAGAUCAUCUGUAUCACUUUGCCUCCUUAAAAACCUGCUUCUACAACCAUCAGUCUUCGUAGCAUCCCAGGAAUUUUCAGAUAUGAAACAGAACUUUCGAGAACAGCUAAGGUGUCUGAAUCACAGAAACCACAGCAUCUCGGGUUGCAAAAAGCACUUUCGAGAACAUCCCGGCCUGUGGAUAUUAGAAUUUGCUAGUGAGCCCUUCGUAAAGAUUCGUUAAACCAGACUCCAGAAGAAGAAGAAAAACAACGGAGACACCACGGGCCAACGCCGAAAGAUGAAAGCGGCUUUUACAGCAGAGGCCUAAGGCCCGAUGCCGUGACGUGACCAGGAACUCCUGGCUCGCUCAACUUAAAAAGCAAGCUCACGGGGCUGGAGCUGUAGCUUGGCCGAUGAAGCUGCCACCUGCCAGGCUGGCAUUCCAUGUGGGCGCUUGGGCCCCUGCACCUGCAUGGGAGGCCUGGAAGACGCUCCUGGCUCCUGGCUCCUGGCUCCUGGCUCCUGGCUCCUGGCUUCUGGCUUCAGAUCAGCUCAACUCUGGGUGUUGCAGCCAUUUGGGGAGUGAACCAGCAGAUGGAAGAUCUCUCUCUCUCUGUCUCUCUCUCUCUCUCUGUCUCUCUGUGUCUCUCUCUCUCUCUCUCUGUUUGUAAC